GAUGAAGAACGUAGCGAAAUGCGAUAAGUAAUGUGAAUUGCAGAAUUCAGUGAAUCAUCGAAUCUUUGAACGCACCUUGCGCCUUUUGGUAUUCCGAAAGGCACACCUGUUUGAGCGUCAUGAAUACCUCAAUCUCCAUCUUUUCUUCGGAUUGAUGGGUGACUUGGAUGUUGAGCCCUGCUGGUAUGGUAUAUCAGCUGGCUUUAAACUUAUUAGCCGGCUCUGUACUGGAUCGGUUUGACUCGACGUGAUAAUAUUAUCGUUGAGGAUGCAUGUCUCAUGCAGCCGGAAAGUAUCAAAGCAGCUUCUAGCUUGCCUUUAGUGCACUUUUACAUUUUAGACCUCAGAUCAGGUGGGACUACCCGCUGAACUUAAGCAUAUCAAUAAGCGGAGGA
RNAcentral lists this unclassified non-coding RNA (395 nucleotides) under soil metagenome. Its description in RNAcentral is "partial contains 5.8S ribosomal RNA, internal transcribed spacer 2, and large subunit ribosomal RNA". The stretch from base 1 to 120 matches the Rfam family "5.8S ribosomal RNA", at positions 35 to 154 of the family's 154-position model. The record is from RNAcentral.